This is a long non-coding RNA of Corticium candelabrum, 256 nucleotides long. RefSeq lists it as uncharacterized. Lineage: Eukaryota; Metazoa; Porifera; Homoscleromorpha; Homosclerophorida; Plakinidae. The transcript has 3 exons. The record is from RefSeq and is a predicted model, not a curated record.
CGCACGAACAUACAGAAGCACACAAUAAUGCUCUUUAUAGUUAUUAAAAAGAUAAUUAUUGCUCUCUAGACUCUAACUUUAUGUGAAGUUGAAGUGUAUGAAGCCUGCACUCGUCAACCUAGAUGUGUAAACAGCGGAUGUAAGCGUGGUAAGAAUGCUAAUGUUGCUCUUGGAAGACCUACUCGUCAAUCAAGUAAUCUCAACUCAAGCUACGUUUCAGCCAAUGCUGUUGACGGUGGUUUCGAAACUAUGAUUA